GAGCACGUAGGUUGGGUUUGUAAGUCAGAUGUGAAAGCCUUCUGUUCAACGGAAGAAUUGCAUCUGAAACUACAAACCUUGAGUAUAGGAGGGGAGAAUGGAACUUCUGGUGGAGCGGUGAAAUGCGUAGAUAUCAGAAGGAACGCCGGCGGCGAAAGCGAUUCUCUGGCCUAUUACUGACACUCAGUGUGCGAAAGCUAGGGGAGCAAACGGGAUUAGAUACCCCGGUAGUCCUAGCCGUAAACGAUGGGCACUAAGUAGAGGGGUUUU
RNAcentral lists this ribosomal RNA (270 nucleotides) under uncultured anaerobic ammonium-oxidizing bacterium. Its description in RNAcentral is "partial 16S ribosomal RNA". It matches the Rfam family "Bacterial small subunit ribosomal RNA", at positions 565 to 832 of the family's 1533-position model. The record is from RNAcentral.